RNAcentral lists this ribosomal RNA (520 nucleotides) under uncultured Scutellospora. RNAcentral's name for it is "SSU rRNA". It matches the Rfam family "Eukaryotic small subunit ribosomal RNA", at positions 569 to 1094 of the family's 1831-position model. The record is from RNAcentral. Lineage: Eukaryota; Fungi; Glomeromycota; Glomeromycetes; Diversisporales; Gigasporaceae.
AGCAGCCGCGGUAAUUCCAGCUCCAAUAGCGUAUAUUAAAGUUGUUGCAGUUAAAAAGCUCGUAGUUGAAUUUCGGGAUUCUACCGUUGGUCGGGCUAUCCAGUCUGUACUAGUGUGUAGAAUUUCUACCUUCUGGGGAACCACCAUGUUAUUAAUUUAGCGUGAUGGGAAACCAGGACCUUUACCUUGAAAAAAUUAGAGUGUUCAAAGCAGGCUUACGUCUGAAUACAUUAGCAUGGAAUAAUAAAAUAGGACGGUGGUCCUGUUUGUUGGUUUCUGAAUCACCGUAAUGAUUAAUAGGGAUAGUUGGGGGCAUUAGUAUUCAAUUGUCAGAGGUGAAAUUCUUGGAUUUAUUGAAGACUAACUUCUGCGAAAGCAUUUGCCAAGGAUGUUUCAUUAAUCAAGAACGAAUGUUAGGGAUCGAAGACGAUCAGAUACCGUCGUAGUCUUAACCAAAUAACUAUGCCGGCUAGGGAUCGGACGAUGUUAAAUNUUAUUGACUUCGUUCGCGCCUUACGGA